UUGAUUGUACAAGUUACUUGAUAAACAAAUAAGAAUCAUGAAGCUGUGUAUUACUUUAGUCGUGAUUGGUAUACUUGGUGCAUUUUCAGGACCACAAACUGUGUCCGGACAUAUUGCGGAAAUUGCGAAAAAGCUCACUGCUGCUAUUUAUGACGGAGACCUUGCGGCUGUUGAACGAAGCUAACGCUGAAAAUGUGAACUCUUUAAAUGAUCUGGGAGAGAAUACUUUGCAUGUUGCCAUUUCAAUGAACAAUGCCCAGAUUGUUGAGAAAUUAAUCCAAAGAGGUGCUAAUGUCAAUCAUAUUGCCCUGGAUGGAAGGUCUGCCCUAGAAAAGGCCAGAGGCAAAGCGGAAAUAGAAGAAUUGCUACGCAAACAUGGAGCCCACUGAAAGCCGCUGACAGUCUGGCGAGCAACAAAAUCUUUAACAGUUUAACACAAAUGAUAUUGUUUUGACAACAGAAUGAUAAUGUGAUUUUACUCAGCUUAAA
Bradysia coprophila is the source of this 489-nucleotide long non-coding RNA. The record is from RefSeq and is a predicted model, not a curated record. Lineage: Eukaryota; Metazoa; Arthropoda; Insecta; Diptera; Sciaridae.